This 308-nucleotide long non-coding RNA is filed under the name Trifolium pratense (red clover). RNAcentral's name for it is "long non-coding RNA (TPRA_LNC004247)". The record is from RNAcentral. Lineage: Eukaryota; Viridiplantae; Streptophyta; Magnoliopsida; Fabales; Fabaceae.
GAAAAACAUAUACAUGCAUUCAUGAAUUUUGUUGUUGUAUAUUGGAUAUUCCAAUAAAGACGGAUAUCGGAUUAUAUUUAUCCGAUAAAGACGAAUAUUAGAGGUGAGAUACUCUAAUAAAGACGAAACGGUACCACAUGCAUUAGAUAUGUCUAGGGCGACAUUGCAUGAAGUUGACGCAUUAGAAUGCAUUAGGUUAUGUGUACAUUUAUGUGAUAAGUGAUAUGUGACACAUACUUGGCUAAUUGUGAUAAAUGAUGAUUGAUGUUGGAUAUUCGAUUUUAUGUGUUUAUAUACUUAUAAUUGAA